UGGGGAAUUUUUGUCAAUGGGGGAAACCCUGAACAAGCAACGCCGCGUGGAGGACGAAGACCUUCGGGUUGUAAACUCCUGUCGGAGGGGACGGAAAGACGAUCGAGGCUAAUAUCCUCGGUCGUUGACGGUACCCUACGAGGAAGCCCCGGCUAACUCCGUGCCAGCAGCCGCGGUAAUACGGGGGGGGCGAAGCGUUGUUCGGAAUUACUGGGCGUAAAGGGCGCGUAGGCGGGCGGGCAAGUCUCUCGUGAAAGCCCACGGCUCAACCGUGGAAUUGCGGGAGAUACUGCCUGUCUUGAGUCCGGGAGAGGAGGGUGGAAUUCCCAGUGUAGCGGUGAAAUGCGUAGAUAUUGGGAGGAACACCGGUGGCGAAGGCGGCUCUCUGGACCGGUACUGACGCUGAGGCGCGAAAGCUAGGGGAGCAAACGGGAUUAGAUACCCCCGGGUAGUCCUAGCCGUAAACGAUGAGCACUUGGUGUGGCGGGUAUCGACCCCCGCCGUGCCGAAGCUAACGCAUUAA
Molecule: ribosomal RNA, 523 nt
Filed under: uncultured Acidobacteriota bacterium
Lineage: Bacteria; Pseudomonadati; Acidobacteriota
Description: bacterial SSU rRNA
Rfam family: Bacterial small subunit ribosomal RNA
Source: RNAcentral